Molecule: ribosomal RNA, 407 nt
Filed under: uncultured bacterium
Lineage: Bacteria
Description: partial 16S ribosomal RNA
Rfam family: Bacterial small subunit ribosomal RNA
Source: RNAcentral
AUUGAACGCUGGCGGCAGGCCUAACACAUGCAAGUCGAGCGGAGCGGCGGACGGGUGAGUAAUGCCUAGGAAUCUGCCUGUUAGUGGGGGAUAACGUCCGGAAACGGGCGCUAAUACCGCAUACUAUCAGAUGAGCCUCGGUGGGAUUAGCUAGUUGGUGGGGUAAAGGCUUACCAAGGCGACGAUGCGUAACUUGUCUGAGAGGAUGAUCAGUCACACUGGAACUGAGACACGGUCCAGAAUCCUACGGGAGGCAGCAGUGGGGAAUAUUGGGCAAUGGGCGAAAGCCUGAUCCAGCCAUGCCGCGUGUGUGAAGAAGGUCUUCGGAUUGUAAAGCACUUUAGGUAGGGAGGCGUUACCAACAGAAUAAGCACCGGCUAACUUCGUGCCAGCAGCCGCGGUAAUUC